UAGGGAAUCUUCCACAAUGGACGCAAGUCUGAUGGAGCAACGCCGCGUGAGUGAAGAAGGUCUUCGGAAUCGUAAACUCUGUUGUUAGAGAAGAACACGAGUGAGAGUAACUGUUCAUUCGAUGACGGUAUCUAACCAGCAAGUCACGGCUAACUACGUGCCAG
Molecule: ribosomal RNA, 164 nt
Filed under: uncultured bacterium
Lineage: Bacteria
Description: partial 16S rRNA
Rfam family: Bacterial small subunit ribosomal RNA
Source: RNAcentral